UCCGGAUGAUUCAACCGUUAUCCGGAUUCAUUGGGUUUAAAGGGUGCGUAGGCGGAAUAAUAAGGCAGUGGUGAAAGCCUGCGGCUUAACCGUAGAAUUGCCGUUGAUACUGUUAUUCUUGAGUAUAGUUGAAGUGGGCGGAAUGUGUAAUGUAGCGGUGAAAUGCUUAGAUAUUACACAGAACACCAAUUGCGAAGGCAGCUCGCUAAACUGUUACUGACGCUGAGGCACGAAAGCGUGGGGAGUAAACAGG
RNAcentral lists this ribosomal RNA (253 nucleotides) under uncultured bacterium. RNAcentral's name for it is "partial 16S ribosomal RNA". It matches the Rfam family "Bacterial small subunit ribosomal RNA", at positions 524 to 776 of the family's 1533-position model. The record is from RNAcentral.